Molecule: non-coding RNA, 67 nt
Organism: Podarcis lilfordi (Lilford's wall lizard)
Lineage: Eukaryota; Metazoa; Chordata; Lepidosauria; Squamata; Lacertidae
Source: the annotation of a GenBank genome assembly
UCUUUAGCUCAGUCGGUAGAGCAUGAGACUCUUAAUUUCACGGGUUUGAGCCCCAUGACGGGCAAAA